CUUUUCCUUUAGAGAUGACCCUUUUGGAUUUUGGUCCUCUCUUUUUGGGGAUAUCACCACAUACAUGUGUUUACUGUUAUUGUUGUGUUGAGUUGCCUUCGAUUUCAGGAGCACAAUCAAGUAGAGUGAAAAAGAUAAAACAAGUGUGUGUGUUUGAAUAAUAAGAACUGUUACUGAUUUACUGUUAUGAUUAUGGAUGUUUUGUCAAACAGUAGGGCGAUUCCCUCCUAACAAUGGUCAUUGUGAAUGCAUUCUCUAUUGAGUGCACUCAACCUGUUCGAUGAAAGUCCGCAACCAAUUAGCAGUUGAUGUAAUAAUUAAGCUCAAAGAAUCCACAUACAGUUUGUUGCAGUGCACAUUUGCCCUAUAACAUUCCCAAACAUGAUGUAAACAUAACUUGUUUGAUUGGAUGAUCAGAUACUCAAACUAUAAUCUUCCCAUACAUUUUGUUCCCCUAAAGCUGAGCUCCCCAACGGCACUGACUUUGGUUGCUGAUUGCAGGUUCACAUACAGAUGUGAAUGGCGGAUCAAAUUCCAACAUACCAACGGGGAAGCUACUCAGUUUACUGGUAUACUUGCUUGUUGGAGGUUGGUAAGAGGGAAUGCUUUACUAGCCAAGACUACGAUCCAUUAAACGCAGAUUCUUGGAUAAUUUAACGCUCUCCUCUCCAUGAAUCUCAUGUUCAAGUAGCAGUUUUUUGCUCCAAGAAACUUGGCACAGAGAUGAGAUUCCGAAGUGGGCAUCAUGACCACGGGGGCCUUUCUGCUUCUAAAGCUCCUUUCAUCAUCAUUGAUCUUUUCAAUCUACAGUCCAUCCAUAUUGACAUAGGGAAGGAGAGUACAUACUUUGCACGGAUUGAGUUAGGUGCUACUCUCGGAGAGUUGUGUUAUAAAAUUGCACAAAAGAGUAAGGCGCUACUCGGGAAUAUAUGGAUUCCAGUACUUGCUCACUUGGGAUGAUGACCAAGAAACUGAGAACUUAUUAGAUGGAUGACAAGGGUGUAUGUGUAGAGUGGCGCCAAAUGUUUCGAAGUCCCCAAGAGCUGCAUAUUUGAACUAUAGGGAUCUUGGGUUGGGGAAGAACAAUGCUCGUAAUACAAGCUAUGGACAAGCAAGCAUCUGGGGCUUGAAGUAUUUUAAGAGUGACUUAAGAGACUUGUUUAUGGGAAGGCCUUAGUUGAUCCUGAUAAUUUGUUUAGAAAUGAACAAGUAUCCUUGUGUUCCCAUCAGGGAAAGUAGAAUAUUAAAUAGAUUGGUUGGGCUUUUUGUUCAUCUUUCAAGCAUAUAUCAACUAACGAUAGAUAUUAGGCAGCCUCAACCAACGUUUACAAGUUCCUAACUUUGCUUGUAUCUCAAUAAAAGAAUUAUAACCUUCUUUAAAUAAAUGGAAAUUGUUUUCGACG
Pyrus x bretschneideri (Chinese white pear) is the source of this 1403-nucleotide long non-coding RNA. RefSeq lists it as uncharacterized. Lineage: Eukaryota; Viridiplantae; Streptophyta; Magnoliopsida; Rosales; Rosaceae. The transcript has 2 exons. The record is from RefSeq and is a predicted model, not a curated record.